Tarenaya hassleriana is the source of this 763-nucleotide long non-coding RNA. RefSeq lists it as uncharacterized. The record is from RefSeq and is a predicted model, not a curated record. The transcript is spliced from 2 exons. NCBI's taxonomy places the organism in Eukaryota, Viridiplantae, Streptophyta, Magnoliopsida, Brassicales, Cleomaceae.
CUGUUGUUAGGGCUGCUGUGACGUUCCAAACCUCUUUGAGGGCUCUCGCCUUCAAUGUGACUGCCCCUCGUAGAGCUGGCAUGAAACAGGAAGCAGCUGCAUUGAGGGUGACAAUGUCGUCGUGGGACCUAACAUUCACAGCAGAACUUACAACUGACGUCAAAUGAUCCCUCUCAGCUCCCAUAUUCUCUGCAGCCUCUACGCACUGAGCUGCAACCAGUGCCCCUGCCGAAGCCAUUGCCAUAUCAAUUUUUGCCAUCUGCUCGUGUUUGCCAGAGGAGGAAGCAGCAGUUGCUGCUGCUAUGGCCGCUACAGCGGAGGCAACUGCGGCAACUGAGACAGCGGCAUGGAUCUGCGCAUUGUGAGCUCUGUUCUCUUCCUUCUUCUUUUCUUUACGGUCCUUGAGCCAUCUGCCUACUGUUUUUGGUCCACCGCCACCGCCUACUGGCGUGGCAUUGCCAUUACUGGUGGCGCCACGGCUGGCGCUUGUACCAGAGAACAGGGGCUGUAUGGUGUUGUGGGUGCGAAAGUACUACAAGCAUGACAAUGAAUGAGUGAUGUUAUCGGUCUGUAGUUUAUUUUGGUCAAGCACAAUACACGAAUGGGAAAAGGAUUAAAAGAUUUGUAUAGAACAUGGAACACUUGACAACCGUUAGGUAAUUAGUAUGGAACAAGUAUUUUUUCUAAGAUCGUUUUAUAUACGUGUAUAUGUGUAAUGGUGGAGAUCCACAGGUACGAGAUUGGAUUAAGAUUCUUGUAUAUA